UCGUUCACUUUGACGAUUGUAGUUACAAAUGUAAUAAAUACGGUUAAACGUGUUAAUUAUAAAUGGUAACACCCUCAAAGUUUCGAUAGAAAUAAUAGUAAAUGUUAUUAUUUUGCAUAAAUUUUAUUUGGAAAGAUAAUGUUUGAACAGACAAAGGUUUCAGAGGUGCACGUGGAGGUCCAGGAUUGAUGCUCGUUAACAGAGUCAUUGCUGGUUUCAUGGUCUCUACCCAGGUUCCUGUAACAUAAUUACAACAUUAACGAUUAAAAGAAGGGAGUAUGGUGCUAAAUAUAGAAUAUGUUUGUAAAAUUAUUAUUUGUAUUUCUAAAUUUCUAUACUUCUUUUCAGCCGAAGUUAUAUAUUUUGCAAUAAAUAAGACUUACUCUUUUGUAAAGUAAUAUGUAACAAAUUUAAGGAAAAUUAUUCGAUGAUUUGAAUGGAAUUGAACGGAAUGGAAUUCCUGAAAUUCAGUAUUGCCACCUCGUUUCGAUCGAAAUAGGUUUUACAUAAUUUUUUCAUAAAAUAGGGAAUAAGAUAAAGGAAUAGCUUAUAAUUAAACUACAAGAAAAAGUAAAAUAAAACCAAGUCAAAGUGUACUAUUUUAAAAGAAAAUACCAAAGAAAGCUUCAAGCUUGUAGAGUGCUAAAAAGUAGAUUUUCUAAAAAGGCUUAAUUUGAGUCGCGUUAGCUCAAAUUAAAUCGGAUACAAAGAGAAUUGGAUCGUUAUUUUUAUCGAACCUUGUUAAAUCAAGUUUGUGACAAGAUGGAAUUGGAUGUACAGUGAUUUUUACUACAUGUAUAUGAUACAUAAUUGGAUUUAUGCAUUUGGUAAUAUUUUUAGACGAAAGAAACAUUUAAUUAUAAUUUUACCAUAUUUCGAUACGUUCAUCACAGCGUUUGUCAAACGUUGUUGCGUUUCUUUUCCUUUCACGACGUUUCCUGCAAGACCGGCUGCAAGAGUUUCGAGUACAAUUUCGGAGAACAUAUUUGAACCUGUUGUUAUAAAAGAAUUCAUUCCUAAUGCACAAGCAGCGGUUAUCAACUGAAAUGAACACAAUAAUAGUAUCUUUAUGAGUUUCUUACUAUAUAUUUUUAUAUCGAUUUUUGAAAUUUUAACUCUUAAACCAAUCGCUUGCAUCUAAUUUGUAGAAUUCGACAAGCGAAACGCGUUAAGAUUCUUAGGAUCGAUUAGAACGAGCUAACGUGAUACGAUUUAGAUCAAAGAUUUAUAUAUACCUAAAUAUCUUAAAGGUACCUACGUGUUUUACAUAAAAUGUAACUAAAAUCAAUUUCAUAGAAAUGUGAGUAACAUAAUGUGCCAGUUUGUAAAAUGCUUUUUACAUUAACGAGUAAUAGUUUAUAAGUUUAAGAUAAGUUGGAAAUAAUUUCAAAAGUUGGUAAAUGAUAACGUUAUUAAACAAACGUACACAACAUAUACGUGAAUAUACGGAAAGAAUUAAUAUGUUACUAAUAUGCGUAUACUAA
Long non-coding RNA from Bombus terrestris (buff-tailed bumblebee), 1484 nucleotides. RefSeq lists it as uncharacterized. NCBI's taxonomy places the organism in Eukaryota, Metazoa, Arthropoda, Insecta, Hymenoptera, Apidae. The transcript is spliced from 2 exons. The record is from RefSeq and is a predicted model, not a curated record.